This 1230-nucleotide long non-coding RNA is filed under the name Salvia miltiorrhiza (redroot sage). RNAcentral describes it as "long non-coding RNA (SMIL_LNC006163)". The record is from RNAcentral. Lineage: Eukaryota; Viridiplantae; Streptophyta; Magnoliopsida; Lamiales; Lamiaceae.
GGAAACUAACCUUUUUUCUAUAAUAAAAAAAAAAAAGAAAGAAAAAAACCUUUUUAGCUAAUUUUCUUCUUAUCACUGCUCGUCUCAAUCAACUAACUUUUGACAAUGAAGCUAUAUAUCUUUUUGAUCAACUAACAUUUUGACAACGAAGCUAAUUUUCUUCAUAGCUAUAUAUCUUUGGUUGGAUGCCGAAAACUAACCUUUUUUUUUUUGCUAGACAACAAAGUGCACCUCAGUUGAUAAGACGUUUCCCCUGCAAUCGAUAGGUCGGGGGUUCGAGUCACUAAAUGGGAAAAAGGGGAACCAUUAUUGAUUCUCUUAAAAAAAAACCUAACCUUUUUGCUAAUUUUCUUCUUACCUCUGCUCGUCUCGAUCAACUUUCCGAUUUAAUCCUCCCUCUCUCCUUAUCUUAGCUUGUCUCUGGCCAGCUGAGAAAGAUUUGAUUAAGGUAGAAUUUGACAUAUUUGAACAAGUCAAAACAGAGUUGGGAGGGAUCAUAAACCACAAAUUCAACAAGUUAUAUAUUUUAUUGCGUAGGUUGAAUAGAAACAAUAAAAUACUCAAUUUUCAAUUAAUGAGACGUGGUUGUAGAGAAGCUUCAAAACAAACACAAACAUAACAAGUCAACACCGAAGGAUUAUUGAUCCUUCAAAACAAACAAAACAAACACAAACAGAAAAAAUCAGCUCAAGUUUAUUUUUCUUGGCAAAAAAAUAAAGAAAGAAAAAUCAUAGAAAGAAAUGGGCCUUGCUGCUUGUAGAGGAGCUUGAGUAAUCGACAAAUCACACUGUGACAGACUCUAAAUCUUCUUCUUAUUUAUCAUAUUUUCAAUUGAUACAACUAAUUCUGAUUCCAUUUUGACAAGAGCAAAUAAGAAAGCAAAAUAAAUUUGGAUUCAGUAAACGAGAGUUAAGAUAACAUACCUUAGCUGCUUGCGACGGAAGGCGGUGUCUACUGUGAUUAGAUUUGGAGCUCUGAAUAGUGAAUUUCGUUCGAGCAAAAUUACGGAUUUAGAAUGUUUUUUUUUUUUUUUUUCGAAAUUAGGGAUUUUGUGUGAGAAAGUUGUGAUUAAUUUAUUAGAUGCUCAGUUGAAGAAGCCAAAUAAUGUGCAUAUUUAACAAACACUAAUAAAAUAAUAAUAUCGCCAGCUCAUCCCGAGCCAGCUGAAGUGUUGACUUGUUGUUUCACACAUAAAAUUUGAAGGGAUAACCCCUAAAAAAAAAUAAAAAA